GUUAGGGUGGCAGAGCCCGGCUAAUGCAAGAGACCUAAACUCUCUCCACAGAGGUUCAAGUCCUCUCCCCAACU
This 74-nucleotide transfer RNA is filed under the name Pterapogon kauderni. RNAcentral's name for it is "tRNA-Leu". It matches the Rfam family "tRNA". From Rfam's summary of the family: Transfer RNA (tRNA) molecules are approximately 80 nucleotides in length. The record is from RNAcentral. Lineage: Eukaryota; Metazoa; Chordata; Actinopteri; Kurtiformes; Apogonidae.